UGAGGAAUAUUGGUCAAUGGACGAAAGUCUGAACCAGCCAUGCCGCGUGCAGGAUGACUGCCCUAUGGGUUGUAAACUGCUUUUAUAUAGGAAGAAACCCCCGAACGUGUUCGGGGCUGACGGUACUAUAAGAAUAAGGACCGGCUAACUCCGUGCCAGCAGCCGCGGUAAUACGGAGGGUCCAAGCGUUAUCCGGAUUUAUUGGGUUUAAAGGGUACGUAGGCGGAGUUUUAAGUCAGUAGUGAAAGCCCAUCGCUUAACGAUGGAACUGCUAUUGAUACUGAUACUCUUGAAUAUAGUUGAAGUGGGCGGAAUACGGCAUGUAGCGGUGAAAUGCAUAGAUAUGCCGU
This 350-nucleotide ribosomal RNA is filed under the name uncultured bacterium. RNAcentral's name for it is "bacterial SSU rRNA". It matches the Rfam family "Bacterial small subunit ribosomal RNA", at positions 355 to 702 of the family's 1533-position model. The record is from RNAcentral.